Megalops cyprinoides (Indo-Pacific tarpon) is the source of this 224-nucleotide long non-coding RNA. RefSeq lists it as uncharacterized. The record is from RefSeq and is a predicted model, not a curated record. The transcript has 3 exons. NCBI's taxonomy places the organism in Eukaryota, Metazoa, Chordata, Actinopteri, Elopiformes, Megalopidae.
UGGAAACUGGGGGGGCGAGGAGUGAGUGAGUGAGUGAGUGAGGGAGUGAGAGAGUGAGAGAGUGGUCUGGAACUCUGCAGUGCCACCGGUCACACCUCACACAGCUCAUCUCUGGCCAGGGAAGGAAGGAGACUGAGAGGAGGAACAAGGCUCUGACAGAGACUUGGAAGAAAGUCAUGUCUUCACCCAGGGAAGAGAGCCAGUUGUAAAGGACAAAGAGCGAU